UUGAGAGACUAACAACACCUGAGAUGAUUCAGAGUAACAGCCGAGUUAGUGUGUAUUCGCAAAAGAAAAGGAGGACUUGUGGCACCUUAGAGACU
This is a long non-coding RNA of Dermochelys coriacea (leatherback sea turtle), 95 nucleotides long. RefSeq lists it as uncharacterized. The record is from RefSeq and is a predicted model, not a curated record. Lineage: Eukaryota; Metazoa; Chordata; Testudines; Dermochelyidae. The transcript is spliced from 3 exons.